UUAGGAAUAUUCGUCAAUGGGGGAAACCCUGAACGAGCAAUGCCGCGUGAAGGAUGACGGUCCUAUGGAUUGUAAACUUCUGUUGUUAGGGAAGAAUUACCUAUGUAGGAAAUGACAUAGGAGUGACGGUACCUUUCAAGAAAGCUCCGGCUAACUACGUGCCAGCAGCCGCGGUAAUACGUAGGGAGCAAGCGUUAUCCGGAUUUAUUGGGUGUAAAGGGUGCGUAGGCGGCUAGAUAGGUCUAUGGUUUAAGUCCGAAGCUUAACUUCGGUUCGCCAUAGAAACCGUCUAGCUUGAGUAUGGUAGAGGCAAGUGGAAUUUCUAGUGUAGCGGUAAAAUGCGUAGAUAUUAGAAGGAACACCAGUGGCGAAGGCGACUUGCUGGGCCAUCACUGACGCUGAGGCACGAAAGCGUGGGGAGCAAAUAGGAUUAGAUACCCUGGUAGU
RNAcentral lists this ribosomal RNA (447 nucleotides) under uncultured bacterium. RNAcentral's name for it is "bacterial SSU rRNA". It matches the Rfam family "Bacterial small subunit ribosomal RNA", at positions 355 to 794 of the family's 1533-position model. The record is from RNAcentral.